This 208-nucleotide ribosomal RNA is filed under the name uncultured bacterium. Its description in RNAcentral is "partial 16S ribosomal RNA". It matches the Rfam family "Bacterial small subunit ribosomal RNA", at positions 32 to 229 of the family's 1533-position model. The record is from RNAcentral.
AAUCAACGCUGGCGGCGUGCCUCAGACAUGCAAGUCGAACGAUUAAAGCUCUCUUCGGAGAGUGUAUAGAGUGGCGCACGGGGUGAGUAACACGUAAGUAAUCUACCUUCGAGUGGGGAAGUAACACCGAGAAAUACGGUGCUAAUACCGCAUAAUGCAGCGGCAUCGCAAGAUGACAGUUGUUAAAGAUUUAUCGCUUGAAGAGGAG